Molecule: ribosomal RNA, 1026 nt
Filed under: Triticum aestivum (bread wheat)
Lineage: Eukaryota; Viridiplantae; Streptophyta; Magnoliopsida; Poales; Poaceae
Description: partial small subunit ribosomal RNA
Source: RNAcentral
AUGGACGUGCACCACCCGCCGAAUGCGGCGGCGGCGGCGGCCGCCGCCCUCGGCGACAUGUUCCCCCAGGAGCCCGCCAUGGAAAGUGAAGACAGCAGCACAGAGUGGCUCUCCAUCUAUUUAGAGGACUGCUUGACUAACCCUGCAUCCUACCCUGUCUCCGAAGAACAAGCAUCUGUAAACCCAAACCUGCCACAUCCUUCAUCUUCCAAUCCCAGAAGAAAGAAGAGAAGCCUGGCCUCUGUUAUAAGAGAUAGUGAUGAAGAAUAUUUCCUGAUUGUUGAGCCACCACUACUACUUGAUCAGAAGCAUUGGCUAGCAGAGAGUGAGCUCAUCCUCCCCAAGAAAGACAAGGACCAAGAACUUGUCCAAAAACUGGAGCAGGAACACGAGGAAGAAUAUAAGCCCUACACUGUGCAGUUCAAGCAAGAGCAGGCGGUGAUGAGGUGUAGCAUUUGUUUGUCCAACUCCAACCAAACACCACAGCAGUGGCAGGGUGGUCCAUCAGGGGCAUUAUUGUGCAACACGUGCAGCCUGAGGCUCAAGGCAGGGAACGGGUUCAUCAAACUGGAGCGCUGCGGCCAACAAGUUGACGAAGAACAAGAUCAUGGAAGGGGGCAGGAUAAGAGGAAGAUCAAGAAGACCACAUAUUAUGGAGAUGAUGAGGAGCCUCCGCAGGAGAAGAGGAGGAUCAAGAAGACUUCAUUUGUAGAUGAGCAGGGCAAGAGGAGGACCAAGAAGACAUAUGUGAACGAGGAGGUCCCACUGGAGGAGCCAGUGAAGCGGUGCACCCAUUGCCUGUCCCACACGACGCCACAGUGGAGGAGCGGCCCUCUAGGGCCCAAGACUCUAUGCAACGCGUGCGGCGUGAGGUACAAGUCCGGCAGGCUGCUGCCGGAGUACAGGCCCGCCAACAGCCCAACCUUCGUGAGCUUCAUGCACUCCAAUUCCCACAAGAAGGUGAUGCAGAUGAGGAAGAGUGUCGAGAACGAGCACGAGCAUGAGUACUCACACUCGGAUAUGUGA